RNAcentral lists this long non-coding RNA (530 nucleotides) under Homo sapiens (human). Its description in RNAcentral is "novel transcript". The record is from RNAcentral. Lineage: Eukaryota; Metazoa; Chordata; Mammalia; Primates; Hominidae.
GCAAGAUGGGUGUAAAUCUUUCUAGAGCACAGCUGAAAAGUUAAAUGGCUUGUCCUAGAGUACACAGCUCAGCAGAGCCAAGAGUAAAAUGGAAAUCCAGUGCUUUUCCAUCUAUGCUGCAGUGAACCUCCACUAGAGUUUUAUGCAAGUCCAACCUCCCAGCAAUAGGGAGAAAAAGCAAUUAUAGCCUUUCUUGAUAUUUAACCUAGCUAAAAACUUCAGCCCAGAGAAAAUCUUCCAAAAGUCCAAGACAGACAGGCACUUCUACCGCUCACCACCCUCCAAAAGGGACUGAGCCCUAAGCUUGUGCAGUGAUUAAUGCUUUCCAUGUCUUUUCCAUCCGCCUGCAGUUAUGCUACAAGAUCUCUGGGUAAAGGACUAGCCAGGUCUGUCUAACACAUACUUUUUGGUGUGACUUAACAGACUGGUUUCUACCACUUUCAGCCUGAAGUGACAGUGCUUUUAAAUGUUGGUUGCAGGCAGGGGACUAUUGCCCCCUCCCAAGCACUUCAACUUCCUUGGCUUCUGUC